Molecule: small RNA, 664 nt
Filed under: Pongo abelii (Sumatran orangutan)
Lineage: Eukaryota; Metazoa; Chordata; Mammalia; Primates; Hominidae
Description: retained intron
Source: RNAcentral
AGUUACCUUCUCAAUCAAGAUACUCAAUUGCAUUUCCACUACUUUGCACUCAUUUUAUGAGUUGCACGCAUGAACUGUGUCCAGAAGAGCGACAUCAUAUUGGAGAUCGCAGUCUUUCCUUAUGUAAUAUGUUCCUAGAUGAAAUGGCCAAACAAGCUCGAAAUCUCAUCACUGAUAUUUGCACAGAACAGUGUACCCUUAGUGACCAGUUGCUGCCCAAGCAUUGUGCCAAAACUAUCAGUCAAGCAGUGAAUAAGAAAUCAAAAAAGCAGACCGGUAAGAAAGGGGAACCUGAAAGGGAGAAACCAGGUGUUGAGAGCAUGAGGAAAAACAGGCUGGUUGUGACCAAGUAAGUGUCCACUUAUAUUAUACCUUUUUGCUCCAGGUAAAAUAUUUGUUUCAUUUUUUUCUAUGACAUUAGUACUGAGGAAAUGCUAAUAAUUGUAUAUUCUUCAUUUUCCAGCCAUUUUAAAAAAUAUUUCUGAGCUUAAUUAACCUGUUAGUUGCGUAUUUCAUCUCAAAAUACAGAUUUUGGCCUUUAGAAGAAAAUAUAUAUAAUAGAUGAUAUUUGUCUUUUUAUACUAAGUACUGAAGGCCAAUUAUAUGUUUAAAAAUUUUUGUGUGGUACAUUAUAAGCAAUCUGUAAUUUUUAAUUUAUUUAAAA